Molecule: unclassified non-coding RNA, 345 nt
Filed under: soil metagenome
Description: partial contains 5.8S ribosomal RNA, internal transcribed spacer 2, and large subunit ribosomal RNA
Rfam family: 5.8S ribosomal RNA (bases 1-119)
Source: RNAcentral
GAUGAAGAACGUAGCGAAAUGCGAUACGUAAUGUGAAUUGCAAAUUCAGUGAAUCAUCGAGUCUUUGAACGCACAUUGCGCCCCCUGGUAUUCCGGGGGGCAUGCCUGUCCGAGCGUCAUUGCUGCCCUCAAGCACGGCUUGUGUGUUGGGCCCCGUCCUCCGAUCCCGGGGGACGGGCCCGAAAGGCAGCGGCGCCACCGCGUCCGGUCCUCGAGCGUAUGGGGCUUUGUCACCCGCUCUGUAGGCCCGGCCGGCGCUUGCCGAUCAACCCAAAUUUUUAUCCAGGUUGACCUCGGAUCAGGUAGGGAUACCCGCUGAACUUAAGCAUAUCAAUAAGCGGAGGA